Molecule: ribosomal RNA, 372 nt
Filed under: uncultured bacterium
Lineage: Bacteria
Description: bacterial SSU rRNA
Rfam family: Bacterial small subunit ribosomal RNA
Source: RNAcentral
UACGGAGGUGGCGAGCGUUACUCGGUUUGACUGGGUGUAAAGGGUCCGCAGGCGGUCUAACAAGUAGAAAGUGAAAUCCUUCGGCUUAACCGGAGAACUGCUUUCUAAACUGUUAGACUAGAGGAUGGGAGAGGAGAUCGGAACUGUCAGUGUAAGGGUGAAAUCUGUGGAUAUUGACAGGAACGUCAGUGGGGAAGCCGGAUCUCUGGUCCAUUCCUGACGCUCAGGGACGAAAGCUAGGGGAGCAAACAGAAUUAGAUACUCUGGUAGUCCUAGCCGUAAACGAUGGGCACUAGGUGUCUGUCCGUAAGGAUGGGUGCCGCAGCUAACGCGUUAAGUGCCCCACCUGGGGACUACGGCCGCAAGGCUAAA